Molecule: ribosomal RNA, 704 nt
Filed under: Paratrophurus bursifer
Lineage: Eukaryota; Metazoa; Nematoda; Chromadorea; Rhabditida; Telotylenchidae
Description: eukaryotic LSU rRNA
Rfam family: Eukaryotic large subunit ribosomal RNA
Source: RNAcentral
CAAAGCACUUUGAAGAGAGAGUUAAAGAGGACGUGAAACCGGGGAGAUGGAAACGGAUAGAGCUAGCGUAUCUGGCCUGUAUUCAACUAUUGGACUUGUGCUGUCAGGGCCGCUGCCUCCAGAUUGGGGUAGUGCUUUGUUCGGUGCAGGACUGACGGUGCAUUUGCAGGUGGAGUGCACUGAGGCGUUCGGGAUAGCUGCAUGAGCUUAGCCCUGCGGCCAGCCCGUAAGGAACUGGUACCCGGACUGGGGGAGUGCUGUUUGGCCUGGAUGUACCUGAUGUGCAUGGCUUACGGGUUCGUGUGGGCACCAAUCUGGCAAUUGGUUACGGUCGCAUGCGACACGUGUCAGAUGCUAGUUCGGUCCUGUACGAACUCUCAUGCCCAUCCUCGGUGUAAAAGCUGGUCAUCUAUCCGACCCGUCUUGAAACACGGACCAAGGAGUUUAUCGUGUGCGCGAGUCAUUGGGCGUUUAAAACCCAAAGGCGAAAUGAAAGUGAAGGUGUCCGCAAGGAGCUGACGUGCGAUCCCGUGUGCUUUGGCAUGCAGGCGCAGCAUGGCCCCAUCCUGUCUGCUUGCAGUGGGGUGGAGGUAGAGCGUGCGCGGUGAGACCCGAAAGAUGGUGAACUAUUCCUGAGCAGGAUGAAGCCAGAGGAAACUCUGGUGGAAGUCCGAAGCGAUUCUGACGUGCAAAUCGAUCGUCUG